UUUCCGUAGGUGAACCUGCGGAAGGAUCAUUGUCAAACGUUAUCCAACGUUAACCCCUUCGUGAACUUGUUUUUUACCAGUGAUAUUAAGUGGAUAAGGAUUCGAGAGAUGUGGUGUCUAGAGUUGUCUUCGGAUGGUUCUAGUUCUCGAGUCUCUGUUUUCGGUCGCAAGACUGAAGGGCGCACUUGGUAUUGCUUCGCCAUUUUUUUCUUUUACCCCAUUUACCUUAAAUUUGUACUAAUUCCUUUUUUGCUUUUUUCGAAAAGUAAAAAAAAAAAUUUAUAUAAAUGCGAACAACUCUUAGCAACGGAUAUCUAGGCUCUC
Molecule: unclassified non-coding RNA, 324 nt
Filed under: soil metagenome
Description: partial contains small subunit ribosomal RNA, internal transcribed spacer 1, and 5.8S ribosomal RNA
Source: RNAcentral